This 329-nucleotide ribosomal RNA is filed under the name uncultured eukaryote. RNAcentral's name for it is "partial 18S ribosomal RNA". It matches the Rfam family "Eukaryotic small subunit ribosomal RNA", at positions 1470 to 1796 of the family's 1831-position model. The record is from RNAcentral.
CCCUUAGAUGUUCUGGGCUGCACGCGCGCUACACUGAAGCGUUCAACGAGUAUUCACCUUGCCCGGGAGGGUUGGGUAAUCUUUUGAAAACGCUUCGUGAUGGGGAUAGAUUAUUGCAAUUAUUAAUCUUCAACGAGGAAUUCCUAGUAAGCGCGAGUCAUCAGCUCGUGCUGAUUACGUCCCUGCCCUUUGUACACACCGCCCGUCGCUCCUACCGAUUGAAUGAUCCGAUGAAUACCAUGGAUUGAGAGUACGAAUAGGUUCGCUUAUUUCUGCUUCUCGAGAAGUGGAGUAAAUCUUAUCAUUUAGAGGAAGGAGAAGUCGUAACA